Pan troglodytes (chimpanzee) is the source of this 22316-nucleotide long non-coding RNA. RefSeq lists it as uncharacterized. The transcript has 2 exons. The record is from RefSeq and is a predicted model, not a curated record. NCBI's taxonomy places the organism in Eukaryota, Metazoa, Chordata, Mammalia, Primates, Hominidae.
UAUACCUAAUGCUAAAUGACGAGUUAAUGGGUGCAGCACACCAGCAUGGCACAUGUAUACAUAUGUAACUAACCUGCACAUUGUGCACAUGUACCCUAAAACUUAAAGUAUAAUAAUAAUAAAACAAAAUAAAAAAAAUUUGCUAUUUUCUCUAGUCAACAGAAAGACAGAAGCUUCAUCAGAUAACAGAAUUUAGCUAGAAUUUAAUAACAUUGUUUUGUCUUCUCUCUUUUUAUGAUUCCCUCUAUUAUAGCAAAAGAUACUGACUUUCCAUUUGAACUUGUUCUUUUAGGAUGAAUUUAGGGGACAAAAGUGAGUGCUUGAAGAAAAUCAUGAAGUAACUAUUGCCCAGGUGAUGCACAGAUAUUUGCAAAGGAAGUACUGGGAUGAGUGAAGUUUGGGAAACACUAGCUGCAGAUACAUAUGAAAGCAAUUUAAAAGAGGCAAGGCUGGGCUUUGAAGCCAGGGCACUGAUCCCAAGGCUAGGGAUCCUUCUGCAGUCUCCUUGUGCUCCACCACUGCAGAGCUGCCUGCAGCCUGAUCUGGAUAGCUGAUGGAGGAGGACAUCACUAUGCUUCCCUCAGCAUUGCUAUCAGGUUAUCUCUACAUGGGGUUGGAGGCUUCCCUCUUACAGGCUGGGCAAAGUCUCAUGAGAAUGAAUUUGGGGCUGGGCAGAGUGGCUCACGCCUGUAAUUCCAGCACUUUGGGAUCCCAGCACUUUUAUACAAACCAAGUAGUGGUAUAGACAGGGUCCCUAAACUUAGCUCAUGGAAUUGGUGCUGAGUACAUGGUAGAGAAAGAUUCAAAAUGCUGCUGUUCUACCUGAGAUGGGAAAAAUGAAAGCAAAAUAACAUCAACAAAAACAAACAAACAGCCUUGUAGUUCCAUGUCACUAGCCAGGGAUUUAAGACCAGCCUAGAGAACAUGGUGAGACCCCUUCUCUACAAAAAUAAAAAUAAAAAUACAAAAUAAGCAGGACAUGGUGGUGUGUACCUGUAGUCUUAGCUGCUCAGGAGGCUGAGGUGAGAGGAUUGCUUGAGCCCAGAAAUUUGAGGCUGUAGUGAGCUAUGAUCACACCACUGUAUUUCAGCCUGGGGAACAAGAGUGUGACCCUGUCUUUUUUUUUUUUUUUUUUUUAAGAAUACAUUUGGGGGCAGAAUUUCCAGAAUAGUAGCUCUUUCUCCCCAUAACUUGUGAGGAUUAAGAGAAAAAUGCCCCAAAAUCCAUCCUUCUCAUGGGCCCCUUGUCAAACCAAGGUGACUUUCUGAGGUAGCCACUCACUGGGUGCCAGAAAACCCUGAGCCUGUUUAUUCAGAAUUCUCUGUGCCUGUGCCAUAAGCAAAAGUUUUGUGUCUUUAGCAGAGAUGAUAUUGUUCCGGGGUUUGGCUUUCCCUCACCCCCAGGGGCACAGUAGAUGUUAAUGACUUUGUAACAGCAGCAGGGGGUCAUGACAGGGAGCUGCUGUGUGUUGAGGAGAGAAGGCACGUUUCUUUCUUCAUUGUGUGGAGAGCGUCACAAGCCACUCUCUCUCCAUCUGCGCAUCAUGCUGGGAGUUGUUCAGUUGAGCAGGCUGGGACUAGUCCUUGGCAGGGCUCCGCAGAAGGGCUGGGAGAGGUGGGUUGACAGUGGAAACUGGCAUUCUGCUGUUCUCAGGAGGCUCCGCUUUGAUGGACGGCUGGGCAGCCUGUGCUGCAGGGACCACCAGUGGUUGUUGAGGUGGUGAAGUGUGUCCCCGUUAACUCCACUCUGGGCAGUGAACUGAAGAGGGAGCAAAGCCCAGGAAAUGGGCCUUUGCGGCAGUGGUGGAGGUAGAGUGACCCACAGCAAACCUCCCCACUUGUCCCUGACCAUUCAGUAGUUCCAGAGGCAGUGAGCUUGGAAUCUUAGCAAGAGAGAUCUUGGGGUGGGGUGUGGACUUUCCACAAAGGCAUUACCUACAUGCACGUUCCCUUACACAUGUAGCCUUCCAAUCUCAUACGUAAGAACACUUAUUUAAGUAAAAUAUGCCUAUUCCAACAGCAGGAGCUCUCGGCUGGGGAGUAGAGUUGUUAUUAGUUUACUAUUUAGUAUUAACUGAGUAAACAUUUAGAAAGGACUGGAUGGGGGUGGGCACAUGGGGCUGGGGUGCAUUUGCUCUGGCUCUACAUUUAUGAAGGACCUCAAAUUUCAUUAUGUGACAUUUUCUCUAAACAAAGGUAUAUAUACUACAACAGAUAUACAGAGGCUAGAAAAAAGUCCAUCAUAAAACUUCACACUUGUGUUCUAUUACAAAACCACAUUGUCUGCAUGGUAUUAUGAUGUCGGCAAAUUUAUAAAUCUUGUAUUUAUAGACAUUUAAAAAAUGUAAAAUGCAUAUAUUUAUUAUAUGUAAACAUCGUAAAUAUACCAUAACUUUUAUAUCCUUCUUUUCCUCCUCCUCCAAUGGCUAUCUUUAGAGAUUCAAAAAAAAAAAAAAAAAAUUUCAAGCAGCAGCAAGACACUGAGAUGAGGGAGGGGAGGGGAUGGGAUGGGAUGGUGUUCUUUAUUGAUUAAGUGCUUUGAGUUCUUUGGGAAGUCAAACACCACAGAAAUCUACUUAGCUUCAGCAUAUUGCUUGAGAGGUACUCUAGUAAGCCAAAGUUUGCCUGGUGUAGGAUGUUUAUCAAAGUGGAGUGGCCGAAAAUGAAUGCCACAAAUUGCCGCACUCUGAAUUCUGCUCCUCAGGGCCCAAUAGCUGACUUUCUAAUCUGCAAGAGCACCUGUGCUUCCUGGUCUCUGGGCCUUUGCAAGUGCUGUAUCUCUAGCAUGGACCGGGAAUGCUCCUCCCCCUGAGCUCCUUCUUGAGAACUCUGAAUCAUCCUUUAAGACCCAGAGAACUUGUUAUCACUUCUUUGAUACAUUGCCGGACCACCUUUUCAGCAUGGCCCCUGAACUCCCACUGCACUGCGGAAUGAAUUGUUCCCUCCCCUGAGAUGCUUUGGAGUCUUGUGUGUACCUUGCCAAUGUAUAGAGAUAGCUGUGUGUGUCUCACCACACAAUGAGCUUCCUAUAUAGGGUCACUUCUAAUUCAUCCUUGAAUCCUCAGCCAAGAAGCCUGCAAAGGAAAGGUGCUCCAUAAAUGUUAAACCUAAUUGAAUCUUUUAAUAAAAUGAUGAGUGUAACCUCUAACACUAUAAAAAUUAAACAAAAACUCUCAGAAGCAACAAUGUGUACUAAAAAUUAAUUUGAAAAAUUUCCUUCCAUAUACUGUUAGCAAAGUACUUUUCUUUUAUAGGCCUCUCCUGUGCUAUAAAACUCUUGAGUGUUCUAAAAAUAUUUUUAAAAAUAGGCAUUUAGAACCUCUUUAAUGAACUACUUCCAAAUGUGGCUAAGAUAUUUGAGGCUUUCCCCGCAGCAGGUGUAAAACCAGCAGUUGGAGCUGAACACCAAGAAGUGGGAAUUCCUGGCUCAGAGAUGGAGAGGUGUCUGUCUCGAAGUUUCACAGGUGGCAGGUGACAAUAUUCUUGGUAGAGACCCUGGUUAAAGGGUUGAAGUUCUCUCUGGGGGUGCUCUUUGGUAUGUAGAGCAGCUUCCUGAGCUCUUGCAAAAUAGUCGGUGCAUCUCAAAUUCUCCGACUCUGACUUUAUGUUUGCACAGGCAGGCUUGAGGCCCGCCACGUCACCUGUGAUCUGACCACAGCACUGCUCAAAUCUGCGGUGUAAAUCACAGCUUUAUCCACUCGCUCACAGAACUGCAAAUUAAUUCUUGUCCUCUUUCCUGAUUUCCUAACUGUCCUUGUUUAUAAACGUGCUUUAUGGUAAAGGCCAUUAGUUUAUCUCACAAGUUAAAAUUAAGAAGAACAAAGGCUGGUCUAAAAUAGAGCAGAAAACAAAAAAUAAAAAGGUAUUGUGGACCAAAAAAGAAGUAUCAAUUAUUUUAUUUGCUUCUAAGAGUUUAGCUUCAAAUGCUGCCCUUAGAAUCCAUUAUUACUAGAAAUUCAAAAUUACAUUCCAAUUUAGAUUUAGAUUGCAAUGCUGAUUUUUUUCCUUGUGUAAGGAAUAACAAUUUCAGAUUUUAUUUCAAAAGUAACAUGUUCAUCUCUGAUUAAAGUACAACAUAUAUGUAAUUCAAUGUAAGAAUCCACUUAAGUAUUUUUCCUUUGCUUGGCUGAUGCCAAUGUGUAUUUCAUGCAGUGUAGAAAAGCAUUAAUUAAGCUGCUGGGUAAUGUCACUCCAUAUCAGUUUCAGGUAUGAUCAUGUGAAUAGCGAGAAGUAUAAUAGCUGUGCUUGUAUCUUGGCAGCAGAUGGCUUUUCGCUGCUGCCUCAUUUCUCUGAGGCUCUGCAGAGGCCAACCACAUAAAAUGACUUUCGCAUCUCCCUUCAAACCUCACGACAUAGUGCCAUUUUUGCUGGGCCGUGUACACCUGCUUUCACCAGACUCCAGUCUCGUAAAACUGUCAAUUGGAUCCUUUCACAAGAAUACAUUAGCAUUGUUUAAGGGGUUGUGCAUCACUUUUUUGACUGCUGUAAUUUGUUUUAAGCAGAACUUAAAAUGAUUAAUUGAUUGAUCCUUCUUUAAGGUAUUACAAAUACAGACCGACAUCAGCAAUUUUAGUGACACAUUGAACAUUCACAUAACCCUCAUAUAGCAUUGUUAUGUGUGUUUGUGCAUGUGUGUGUACUCACUGGGGCAAGAUGUUUAUGGAGACAUAUUAAGAACUGAGAAAGGGAAAACCCCACUUAUUUGAGAGUUUGGGAAAAAGAGAAGCAGGGAUAAGAUGAAAGAGAAAAAAAAGAGAAAAGAAACCUUAAAAUUCACACAGGAUUGUCAAGGAGCAGAGAAAAGACAUCCAGGAUCUUCAAGGCCUCCAACAUUUCUGAGAUAAUCAAGUAAAGGAUGAAACACUGAAGACUGUUCCUAGAAACCAGCUGUGUUUUAAAUGUAAGGAAAAAAGCUAGGCUGCUCAAUCCUUUAAAACUUGAAAUUGUUGUCAUCAUGAGGGAGAGGAAGGCUGGUGUGGAGGCCAGGCCCUGGGCAAACCAAACCUCUGAGCUACUCACCACAGGCUAGUUCAUCUCAGUGUUCUAAUGAGAUCAGUUGAGGCUCUUUUUGUUGAGUGAGAGAGAGAGAGAGGAAUAGUUACUGAUGUGACAUUUCCUAAGACUUUAUGAAUUAAAUUUCCUAUUAACUACUUUGAGGGCAAAUGUAUCUUAAAGCAACAGGGUACUUUCUGCUCCCAAGCUCUGCUCAAUGAUUAUUAACUCUUUAAUUGGGCAAAGUCUGUUUAUGCCAGUCAGACAUAGAGAAAUUUACAUAGUGUACAUAUUACCGUGAGAAUUCCUCUAAUAUACAAUUGUCAAUCAAAGUAGAGAUGGGUCUUCAGGUUUAGGAGGGUGAGGAUAAGUUACACCACAAAUGCAAACAGAUACAGCUGCUGUUAUAAACACACCAGUCCUAUGUCAUGCUUAUCUGAAUUCUUUCUGGUACUCACUUUUAAACCAAUAAAAAUUUCAGGAAAAUGUUAGAGAUAUUUUUGUGCCUUCAGAACCAUCACUUACAUAAGGAAACUUUUGAAUAAAAUGAGUUUUUGGAAAUAAAAGUGGUAAAUGGUUGUAAUAUAAAAGAAGUUACAUACCAAAUAAUAGCUUAUGCUGUAUUUUCAACAUGCUAGUUUUUGGAUGGGUAAUUUUUUUGGUAAUAAAUCUGAGUUGGGUCUGAAAUGGGAGGUUUGUAUUUACUGUAGGAUCUGUACUUCCGAUCAUCUCUCCUAAUGUGGGAAUAAUUUCUGAUUGCUGGUCAAUUGUCUUGAGAUUCUCAGAUGGAAAUGAAGCUCACAUUGCCAAAUAUUUUUACUGGGCCUAAUGAUAGAUCACCUGAGUGUAUCCUUCCUUAACAAUUAACUUCAAUUUAGAAGACAUUUAGAGUCUUUUGGAAGACAUUUAAUAGCAAGUGAAGUGAUUUGUGGAAAGACUGUGAAUUUCAGUCUUUCAGAUGAAAGAUGAUAAUGGGAUUGAAGUCUUUUUUUCUGAUUUAUUAUUUGUGUUCCUAUUUCUUACACAGUGAAACUUCCUAUUUUUCAGGGAACUGAACUUGUUUCAGCCCGAUGGCUGAUACAAUUAUUAGAGGGUUGUGUUGCUUUAUGGGCCCUAUGUUAAGACUUUUAAGUAAAUUUGGUAUGUAUUAAUAAUAGGCAAUGCUUAAGAGCCUGGCAAAAAGAGAAAACUGUUGUGAAAACAGCUUUAACCUGUCAGGAAUGAGAGUGAGAAGAGGGAGCUAAAUAGGUGAUGUAGUUCAUCAUCUCAGAUUGGUAUAUUUUGGAGGAGGUGGGAGAAAAAGAAUAAGGUAAUACACAUUCCAUUGGAAAAUUUCUAGAGAAUCUAGAAACUUAAAAAAAAUCUAAGGAAAUCAUUGUUCUUCUAAGAAAUAAGUCUCACUAUUAAUUUGUCACAUGCCAAAUGUUUGUAAUUGCCUUUGGGCCACUAUGGGAGGGUUUUCGUUCAUCACAGCCAUGAAAAAACCACAAUACUGCUUCCUAAAGCCAGUUUUCUUUUCUUUUUCCUUCUUCCUUUCUUUUUUUUUUUUUUUUUCCAAGGACAAGUCUCCUUGUCCUGAGCUCAGAAACUCAGAAGAGUUGGGAGCUUUGGGGAUGGCGAGAGAUUUCAAUCUUGAUGAGAAAUUCCUUGUCAGUGGCAAGUUGCUAUAAAGCAGGGCAGUUUUCCCAGAGGGGCUGGUAAAAAUACACACGCAUUAGUAAAGUAAAGCAAGGGGAAGGCACUGCCAGGUCUAGCUGUCCAGUCAGAAGUCAAAAUGUUUGUGCACACCAGACAGUGUGUCUGGCUACCUCGAGGGAGGGUCCAUGUUUGGUCUGGGAAAACAGUUCCAUGUUCACCACCAGGGAAAGCCUGUGGGUGAAUAACAAUGACCAGGCCCUACUAGCCAGGAAGAGCCUCUUUUCUAAAUGGCUGUCUCAUUAGGUUGAGUGGGAGUGUUUUUCAGCAUGCAGCUUUGAGAUAGAGCAGCCCGAACAGCUGUUCCCAUCAGAGGGUAGCACACAAGUCUGUGAACCCAGAAUGCUUCCGUGGACUGGCCUUUCAGUGGAAGGCGGCCACCCACUUGGUGGUGUUGCUGUGGCCAUCCUCAACUUGUCUUUCCAUCUCUCUUAUAUCUUUAGGGGAUUUUCAGCCAGUGUGGAGUGCUGGGUAUACUCUAGAAGGCUGCACAAUAAAUUCUCACUUUCCAAGCAAAGAUUUUUCAGCAUAAACAUCCAAGAAGGCAGUGUGUCAUGCUGGUAGAGAGGCACCAAUUACAUAAAAGCCAGUGCUGGUCAGCAUGUGUGUAAUUAUUUAUUUCAGCUUUCUGUAAAAGGAGGGGCAUUUUAUUCAAGCCAGGCAGAAACCUGGCAGUUUCCCAGUUGUGAAAUUCUAUUGACAAAGGUGUUAAGUGAAGGGCAGGGUAACGUGGUAUGCUAGGCCCCUGCGCCUUCAUCUCUGUGACCUGGGCAUGUGUCAGGCCCAGACUGAACUGACCAGAAUAACUUUGAUUUGAUGACCGUUAAAGGUCAGGCACAUAAUGGGAUCAGAUGUGUCAGUGGAGGGUGAAGUACAUAGCAUAAUAGAUUGAUGGUAAUUAAGUAGUCGUGUUUAAUAAGAGUCAUCAGAGUUAAAGGCAUUGUUGGAAUGAGCAGCUUGGGAAAGCAAUGAGAAGGCAUGAAGAAAGGAGGUGGGAAAUAUGUUAAGGAAUAACUUUUUUGUUACACUAAAGGAAAGAUCAGAAGAAGACCAGUGUGUCUCUGUGUGUGUGUGUGUGUGUGUAUGUGUGUGUGUGUGUUUUAGGAGACAGCAUUUUAUCUGUCUAAAAAUUGGUGUUUUUGUUUUUUUGUUCCUAGAUGAUUUUUUUAAGGGCCAAGUAGGGUCAGUAGAGGAGAAUUAAACUUUAUGAACUUAUAAAUGGCCCCAAAUCAUCCUAAUUACAUAUAUGUGUAUCCAGAAAAUGUAAACCACAAUCCUCCAGAUAAAAAUAGUUCAACAAAUAUUUCAGAUGAGAUCGGGCAUGUUCAGGAUGGUACGGCUGUAGACAGUGGUAUGGCCAUAGACUCAACAAAUAUUUCAAACAUUAAUCUAUAUUUUUUAUAGGAUGAGAAUUUGGGUUGUUACUGGCUUUUUAUUUUUAUAUAAGUCAUAGAACUCCUAGAAUUGAUUAAUUGCUUGUUCAGUGAAACUUUUGUAGUUUUGGAAAAUUAUCAUUCUUCGAUAAUACUUAAUCAUAUUAUUGUGAAGUGUUAUCAUUUAGUAAGAGAGCACAUUGAACUAGAAUAAAUGAAUAAGGGCAGGUUUUGAUUGCUGCAACCAUGAUACAUUUUCAGUAUUAUUUUUGUCAGUUUGCACAAAUCAUCAAUGGUCAUUGGGGUUUAUAUGUAGAUUACGUAGGUUCAAUGUAGAAUGAGCAGAUGUUGAGAAUGCAAACAGUUAAUUAGGAUGACAUUGACUGCACCAUCUGAUAAUGGAGAGUCCGGGUAAGGGGCUUCAAAUCUAAUCUGAAUUGUGACUUGACAAAUCUCAAUGAUCCCUUCUUUGUGCGAUUUUUCUCCUAGUUCUGUGUCACAGAUGUAUACUAAAGAAGUGUUCUGGCUUACAGAAGUUCUGACUUACUCUUUUCAUCUGAUCUUCAUUUCAGUAAAACUCAACCUGAAAGCAGAGUUGAGUUGGGAAAAGACUGUGAGGUGGAAUUUUUUUUUUUUUUUUUUAAUGAAUUACCUGUCUUUCCUCCUUCUAGCAACCAUGACCUGGGCAGUCUGACCCCAGCGCCUCUGCACUUAACCACUAUAUUAUACUAUCUGAGAGUUCUCAAGAGUAUGGCUUCGUUUCAUGAGAGUUUUGUCUUAUCUUUGAAACUCUGGUGCCAACACAGUGCCAGGCACACAAUAAAAGAGAAGUUAUUUAAUCAGAUUAACUCCCACUGAUAUUAGCUAACUUAUGCAUUCUGACAAAAGUGUCUCAGGAAUAGGUGAUAUAACCUUUGCCUAUAGGUGGAAGUUGAUGUUUUAUGAGAUAUAUUUGAGUGGGCACCACAAAUAGUAUCAGGCACAGAGCCUUCUACUCUUGCUCACUCUGAAAAUAUUCUCUUUGCAGCGUGUGACCCAAAGUAAGUGGGGUCUUAGCUACAUGGAGUCCAGUGGCUGGAAGUGAUGUUAGUCUAACUCCUUUCGUUUAAAAAUGAACUGAUUCUGUUGGCGGCUGGGCACAGUGGCUCAUACCCUGUAAUCUCAGCACUUUGGGAGGCCUAGUGGGGCAGAUCACCUGAGUUCAGGAGUUCAAGACCAGCUUGGCCAACAUGGUGAAACCCUGUCUCUACUAAAAAUACAAAAAAAUUAGCCGGGCAUGGUGGCGGGCGCCUGUAAUCCCAGCUACUCGGGAGGCUGAGGCAGGAGAAUCGCUUGAACCUGGGAAGCGGAGGUUGCAAUGAGCCGAGAUCGCACCACUGCACUCCAGCAUGGGCAACAAGAGUGAAACUUCUUCUCAAAAAACAAACAAACAAACCUCUGUUGGCAUCUGUGUGACAGUUCAAAAUAUUUAGUAUGAAGAAAGAGAGUUUGGAGUGCUUAAAAUACAGAUUAUCAUCUUUUAAACUUGAUGGCCAAUGUUUUAUCUCAUGUCUUGUCUCUUGAUUGGAGUCGCAAGGAAGUUUUUCUUCUUUUUAUAGGGUUUUGCCUUACCUCUCUUGUCAAUGAUGCAGGUAAUGGUGAGGGCUGAGAGUGACAGUGCAGAGCUAGCACUACAGAUGUUCUGGGCACCUAUUUAUUGACAGUUUGAGGAGGUUACAAAAACAACUCCUACCUUAGCUUGUUUGUUUGUUUGUUUGUUCAUUUUUGAGACAGAGUCUCACUCUAUUGCCCAGGCUGGAGUGCAGUGGCAUGAACUCAGCUCACUGCAAACUCCACCCCCUGGGUUCAAGCAAUUCUCCUGCUUCAGCCUCCGGAGUAGUUGGGAUUACAGGCAUGCACCACCAUGCCCAGCUGAUUUUUGUGUUUUUAGUGGAGAUGGGGCUUCACCAUGUUGGCCAGGCUGGUCUUGAACUCCUGACCUCAGGUAAUCUGCCUGCCUUGGCCUCCCAAAGUGUUGGGAUUACAGGUGUGAGCCACCGUGCCCGGCCAGCUUGUUUAUUUUUUGAAAACAUUUAUAAACAAUCAAAUCAAAGAGCUAUUCUACAACAACUGCUACUACUAUUAUGACUACUAGUUGCUUACAUUUAUGGAGUACUUUCUGCAUGCCAAGCAUUGUUCUGAAGACGUAGCAGUGCACUUGGUCCUCACAACAACUCAAUGAGGCAGGUGCUAUUAAUAUGCCCAUUCUAUAGAUUAGGAUAGUGAGACACUGACAAGUUAUGUAAAUUCUCAAUUAAGAGGUUAAGAAAUGUGAAAUAGAGCAAAGUUUCAAAUUAACAGGAAAAUUCACCAACACUAGCUGAUAUACCAGACAAUUUUUAUCUGUUUAAAAUUCUUUAUAAGGUUGGUUUUUUUUUUAGCUAGAGUAGACAUCUUAGGCUUUCUAAGCUGCAAGGGAAAUUGGAGAGCAGCUGGCCUCACAGCAUCACUUUAUUGAUUAGAAAUGUGAAGCUCAGAGAGGUAAAGUGACUUUCUUAAGACCGCAGAGCUCUUUGAAUCUAGACUUUAAGCCCUGAACUCUUUUUCCUAUAUCAGGCAAUAUUUCUCAUGCUACGUUUUCAUUUUCAAAAUAGCAUAAAAUCCUAGUGUUUAGUCUUCUAUCUCCUUCUAUUUUACAGAAAAGAAAAUAAAGAUACUUUAAAAAAACUAGAUCUCAGUUCCUUGUUGAGUACCUAUCGCUAGCUCUGGCUGCUUUAGAAUCUGCGGUGUCAGAGGCCUGGACCUUUGCUUGCUCCCAUGAGCCUGGUGCCUGGCUGCACCUUGAUGAAGGUAAUAAUAGGUAUUAUCGGCCUCUCAUAUUCUGCCCUCACUAGGGUAUUUUGGCUGUGGUUACUUCCUGAGCCCAUGGAGACAACCUUGGCUGAAUCACUUAAAACACUUUUUAAUCAGAACCAAGCACCUUAUUUUACCAAAAUAACCCCUUUUAAAGGUGUCACAAUUUGUUCAACAGAUAAGCAUCAAAGGGCAAUAGAAAAACUGGAAGCAGACAUCAUAAUUAGAUGACUAAAAUGAAAGAGCAGAGUGAUUUAGCAAUGGUUGAACAUUUGGCAAAGAAUUUUCAUCAGGCUUCAUCCCAAUUCUUUCAACAGAGGAGGGAAGAAGCUUCUGAGAACUGUUUGAAAUGGUGGAAUAGCAAUUAAAGGCCUUCGUCAUUAACAGAGAGGAAGCAGAAAUGAAUGUAUUUGCCUAAUAUGGCAUUAUGGGCAUUGGAAGCCAGAGGGUUGCAAUGGAAAUAAACCUGUUGAAAACCAAAUAAGAUGAACACAGGGGAGUACAAAAGAAGGAAGGAAGAUGACCAUCACUCUGGCCCUCUGAGCCUUGUGUUAAAAUGAGAAUUCUGUCCCCUUCUAAGAAUAAGCCUUCCAGUAUGCACUUCAGGAAGUCCCAUUGCUUCGGCUCAGAUGGCUAAUAUGAAAAACAAAGCAAUUGUUUGUUGACACGAUAUUCUAGCAGGUGCAGUUCCAUUUUAAACAAGAAGCCGCUAUUGUUUUCAGGAAUCAUGUUGAUGACUGUCUUAGAACAUGAAGGGCUGGUUCCGCAGGGGGACACCAGGGUGCUGUUUUUCAUUUUGGCCCUUGGGGCCAACAGUUCUCAGCCUCUGCACGUUUAUGACUAGCACCUCCUACAGGGUGGUGUGAGUUUUAAAAAGGAAGGCAAGUUUGUUUUUAUAAAUAAUAUUUUAAAAACCCUGAUUUUCAUAUUCUGAGGAAAAUUCUUGGGCAGAAGGGGAGAGUAGGGCUGUUCAGAUAUUUCUUUGGUAGUCACUGAACCCUGGGGGUGGAGGAGACACUUGAUUUACCGUCUUCAGUUCAGGAGGAAGCCCAGUCAACAAGGUAAGGGCUGUGUGGUUAACUAGCAAGUGAGAAGGGACUUUGGAAUUAAGGCUCGGUGGUGGCCUGCCUUUGUUAAAAUCACUGGAUACCUGGGGCCCAAUCUUCUCCCCAGGUGAAGGGAGGAAAGAGACAGUGAGGGGAGAAAAGUGACAGCAAAAUCUUGAGGUGCUUCCCUGCUUCAUGAGCACCCAGGAGGGGAAGGGCCAGGUGGGCAAAGGCAUCCAGGGCUCUCCUUCCUUUUGUGUAGUGGUGACACCUCUCCAGCCCAGCCUUAUUUGUGGGAUGUGGAGCUGUGUGACGUGUUGCGGUUGAUUUAUGGGCAGCACCGAGCAGUAAUCCCUCCCCUGGCUCUCUCCUCGGCCUUCUCAGCACAGCGGCACUAAAUAUCCAGCCCGACUGGGGAUGCGCUGCGGCCAGUGCACCCGGAGUGAGGGCUGUGUUAGCCUCUCAAUUUACUUUUUCAAAACCACGAUAAAUUCAGGUACAAAUGGCAGGAAAAUUAACUGUGAAAAUGCCACCAUAUUUUGCAGGCCAGUUGCUGUUAGCUUCAAUCUGGUUUGGUUUUUAUAGCUGUUUCUCUUUAGUAGAAAAGAGUGGACUUUUUUUUUUUUUUAAUGUUUAGAUGAGAGAUUACCAGCUUCAACAAAAUGCUGCUACUAAGCAGAAGAAACAACUGUCUUUUUUCUUAGAGGACGGUGGCUUUUAGGUAUAAUGCCUACUUUAUAGUUUGUGUUAGAUUUUACUAUCUUCUUUGAGAAAUGCUCACGUAUUUUUUAUUACUAAUACUGAGCAAAUAUUUAAUUGAUUUAUGCUCUAUAUCUCACAUACAGUGGGGAAGCAAAAGGCAAAUUAAUAUUACUAAACCAGAAUUAUUCUGAUUUUUUUAGGUGGGUGUAAGCCAUGGUGAAAUUUAUCGGUUGUUGUUUAAUGACCCAGUGUUAUCAGCUGUAUUUUAUUUUUUCUAUUUAUUUUUGAGAUGGAGUCUCACUCCGUCACCAGGCUGGAGUGCAGUGGUGUGAUCUCGGCUCACUGCAACCUCCGUCUCCUGGGUUCAAGCAAUUCUUCUGCCUCAGGCUCCUGAGUAGCUGGGACUACAGGCGCGCGCCACCAUGACCAGCUAAUUUUUUGUGUUUUUAGUAGAGACGGGGUUUCACCGUGUUGGCCAGGAUGGUCUUGAUCUCUUGACCUCGUGAUCCACCCCCCCAUAGCCUCCCAAAGUGCUGGGAUUACAGGUGUGAGCCACUGCCCGGCCUAUUUUUUCUAUUUUUGAUAAAGUGAACUGAAGUGACAAAUUAUGUAAAAAGCUACUGGGCCGUUAUGAAAUAUAAUCUGAUUGAGAUAUGAAGGGCUAGUGGGAGUAAACGAAAGGAAGUGUGUGUAUGGUUCAAACUCACCUUGACACCUAUUUGUUGGGCCUUCUUAGACAAGUCACUUAUUAUUUCUAUGUGGAAAUGUCUUUGUUUCUAAAAUGGGAUUAACUAUAUGCCAUGGCCCCAUAUUGGGACUAGAUGCAAUGAUAGAUCUGAAGUUGUGAUCUCAUUUUGAUGGCACUGAAAGAGAAGACAAAGAAGCUUAAGGAGGAGAGGAAGAAAAGUCUAGGGUCUGCCUGGGAGCUAUGAAGGAGGAGAAAGCUUGGAAAGAGCUCAGUGCAAAGGAGCUGAGGGUUGAGGAGCCAAGGUUAUGAAGAAUAAAAAUCCACUCACCUGAGACAGGAGAGGGGAGACAGUUGUUCUAAGAAGUGUCCCAGGGCUGGUCAAGGCUCAGGAGUUCAGGGCCUGGAACUCUCUUCAUGGUUCUAAAUGGUUGGUAUAGACUCUGAUGGCAGGUGGGCUACCCAUUCUUUGGCUAAAACAAUUAUCAGUAUGAAAUUUUCUCCCUUUAUAAUCCCGCCCCUCCCAUUAGCUGCUAGAUUCUGGCCAAUAUGAGGUAGGGGACAAGUCUUUAUAGACCAAAGUUGCUCAAAGAAGAGAAAAACCAAAGGCACCGCAGACCAAGUUUUAUAAGUGAUGUCAGCUUUUCUCUAACUCUGCUUUGGUUGUUGCUCUAAAGUGUUGGGGUCAAGUUUCUUAACUUCCUUUGGACUGGCAGGAAAGAAGACACCUAGUGGAACUUUUAAUCAGACAAGCACUAUACAGUAUACUUUGCCACUCAAAGUAUAGUCUAUGGACCAGUAACCUGGGAGCCUGUUAAAAAUGCAGACUCUCAGGCCCAUCUCAGAUCUACUGAACCAGAAUCUGAGUUUUAACAACAUUCGCAGGUGAUUUAUGUAAACAUUGAAGUCAGGUCAAGACUCCUUCUGGGUGCACAUGAACAUUCACAAACACACAAAUAUUCAUUAUGCAAAUGAUUUACUUUUAUUGUAAGGUUAUAAAAAUAUAGAAAUACAUAAAAAAUAAUAAUUACCUAUGGUCCUACCUCUGUUAGGGGUCUUUUAAUUUUCUUUAUCUUUUAAUUGAAGAAGUCUAGACUUUUUUGUGAGGGGGAAAGCCAUUCUUCUACAAAGCCACUCCCAUAUCUUAAAAAAAUAUACUGGGUUUGACUAAUUGCUCCUAGUUUUGUGGGAGGGCGAAGAAAAUACAAUGAAAAUAGAGAUAUAACCCUAGUUUCUGUUGUGUCACAAACUUUCAAGACUUACAAGGAAUUGGAGAAUAGAAUUGAUUAUUAACUUUAAGCUAUUCUAUACUCAUUUUAAUUCCAACAUUUGGUUGAUUUAUGUUACAAACAGAUUUGGUAUCAUAAAUGGGCUCAGAGCUCUAUGCAUCUAAGGUUCAACAAACCUACUUCAUCUGUAUGUGGAAGUUGGUAGGAAAACAUGUAUCAGAAUUUCCCUUCCUCUUUGAGCAGUCUAUCUAGAAAGAUUAAUUGACCCAACUCUAAAGGGUGGCUUUGUAGAUGAUUUUUAGCAGGAGGUAGGUAAUGUAGUUUGAACAAUGUUUUCUUUCAGUGAAGCCGAAAUCUUAGUUACUGCUUUUCAACUAUAAGGAAUAAAUUGGCCGUGUGCAGUGACUCGUGCCUAUAAUCACAGCACUUUGAGAGGCUGAGGCUGGUGCAUCACCUGAGGUCAGGAGUUUGAAACUAGCCUCGCCAACAUGGCAUCUCUACUAAAAAAAUACAAAAAUUAGCCAGGUGUGGUGGCAGGUGCCAGUAAUCCCAGCUACUUGGGAGGCUGAGGCAGGAGAGUCGCUUGAACCCAGGAGGCGGAGGUUGCAGUGAACCAAGAUCGUGCCACUGUACUCCAGCCUGGGCAACAGAGCAAGACUCUAUCUCCAACCAAAAAAACAAAAAAACCAAAACCAAAACAAAAAAAACUCUAAGGAAUACAUUUCUUUUUCUGAGCCCCCUCUUUUCUUCCCCAAACUUCGUGAGAAUUUAAUUCACCAAAAUAGGGUGAGAUGAAGCUUUCCUUGAUGCCUCCAUGCCCCCUUUGCACAAGUUCAAUGUUUAGAGGUUUCCCAGCAAUUGUCCCCAAGCAGGCAGCAUGCUUUGGGCGUUGUCCUCAUGGGUAGGAGAUGCUCCUGGGGGAGAACCAGCCAGUAUGCCACAGAGCUGAGCUCUUACUGACAGCGACUCCCCCUCUGCCUCCCACUCCCAGUUUCAAGGGCUGGCUGGCUGGGCCAUUCUCGAAGAUUUGGAAAGGAGCCACCAACAGGAAUGAUUGAACAAUUGCUCUGUGAAACUUGAGAUAACACUUUGUUCCACCACAGUGGAAUUCCUGUGUGACAGAAGGAAAUUAUCAUUUAGUUUUUGGUUAACAUUUAUGUGAGAAAAAUAAAAUUAAAGUUGAUGGUAUCUAGUCCAAGAAAUGCUUGUAUUUAUUUUAAAGAAUAUUAACUUAGCACUUUUGUAGAGUGAGGGUAACCAUCUUUGGAGGAUUCAUUGUUUGAGUUGCAAUUGAAAACAAAACAAAACAAAAUGAAAACCAACAAUGUCCUUUAAGAAGCCAGUGGAAUGCCUCCUGGCUAUCAAAUUCAGUUCCCUGAAAUCAAUGGGAUUUCUAGAAAUAAUUGGAUUAUGAAUACAAUGGUAUGAAGUAGGUCCAUCUCUAUGGAUACUUGGAGGUGUGUGUGAGGAGUAAUCUUAUGGAUUUUUGAAAAUUUCAACAUGUAGAAAAAGGUGGACAAGUUUCACUGAGUUCAUUAUAAAUUUUGCAAUCAAAUGAAUAAAGCAAACAUUUUACUACUAAUAUAUAAGUAAUCUCAAUAGUUCUUGUGUUAAAAAUGCUAGUAGGAAUAACUUUUAAUUUAGUUCUCAAAGUAUCAAAUCCAUGUGUUCAUUCAUUCAGCCCACAUUUAUCAAGGGCCAUUUCUGUGUAAGCACUGUCACAGACUGGGUGAUACUGUGAUGAAUAAGACAGGAUUCUUGUGUUAAUAACUUUAUAGUUGGCUAGAGGAGACAUGAACGUGGUGGGUACAAGGUGUCCUGAGAAAGUUAAGCCAAUUUAACAACUAUUUCUAACAUCUCUCUAGCCUGCUUUUCCUUUAAGUAUAGGGUCAUGUAUUUGUGAGCCUAUGUGUUUUAUAAACAUGUAUUAGUAUUUGCACUUGUAUAGUGCUUACUAUGGGCUAGAAACUUUCUAGAAGCUUUAGAGAUGUGAACUCAUCUAAUAUAUGAUUAUUAACCCCCCAUUUUACAGAUAAGAAAAUGGAGGCAAAGACAGAUUGGAUAACUUGCUGAACUUGGUGGAGGAGAAGGAUUUGAACUUAGCAGCCCAGCUUGAGUCUUUCUAUGUGCUGUGCUGUGCUGUCUUCCCGAAGUGGGUGCACUAGCAGCAUAACCCAAAAAGAGGUGUGCAGAGCUUAACUGGGUGUGUGGGCUCAUGCCUUUUAUCCCAGCUGCCCAGGAAGCUGAGGCAGGAGGAGGCCAGGAGUUUGAGACCAGCCUGGGCGACAUAGUGAGAGACCGUCUUUUUUUUUUUUUUUUUUUUUUUAAAGUAUUGUGCAGAGCUCACUGCUUAUUACCUGGUAGAUUUGUUUCUAUCACUUAGGCCUGUUUAAUUACAUAAUACAUGGUUGUAGCUUAUUUCUUUAGUAGUGAUAGGUUCUUGAACCAUGGAAAUCAAGCAGCCAUAAAUGUUUAAAAAGGAAUCCAGGCCAGAUUUAUUCAAAGGAAUCCGACAUUUGUAAUAUGAAGACUAUUUUACAAAUGACCAGCCUUUUGUUUAACUAUUUUGAAGUUCAGAGUUUCCUUAUUGUUUUUUAAUGUUGGGCAUUUGUUUAUAUCAUUUUUAUUGAUUUGAAAUUAAUCCAGUGGUGUAUAUGCAUGAGGGUAGUUGCUAGCCUCGGUUUUGGAGAAAGAUCUUCACUAGAGGAAAAGGAAAACCUAAAGCUCUGUUUAAGUGAGGGAGGAAUUUUGGACAGGCAUCCUCAGUAAUCUAGUAUUUUGUUAAGAGUAUGGGAAAGAGUUAUAUUUUUAUCCUGGAGUCAUUCUGAGUCUUAUGCUCAUCAGAAAUUCCCAUGCUUUAGUUUGUGUGUGUGGGAAAGAGAUGAGAGAGAGAAAGAGAGAGAGAGAGAAAAAAAAAAAAAAGAAAAAAGAAAAGAAAAGAGGAGAGGAGAGGAGAAGGGAGGGAAAGUGAAUGAAGAAUCUUAUGGUGAAAUGAGAUGAAUUAAUGCAUAUGUGAGCUCAUCAGUUUUUAUUAAUGAGAAAAUAACAAGCACCAUUAAACAAAAACAUUAGAUCUAAAAGAUGGAACAUAAGACCACCUUAUCUAGUUACACUUUAAAGGGUAUUUUAACAAGGGGCUAAGACUGAGCCUAGUUCUAGUUCCUUGUCAGCAGAAGGGACUCUGUUUUACUCAUUUUAUCCUCCGUGCCUAGGUGAGAGACUGGCACAGAACAGGUACCCAGUAAAUGAAUGUGGAAUGAAUAGAGCUAGAGACCUUGGUUUCUGCAGAAAGAUCUCCAGACCUUCAGAGAAAACAUCUCACCUCAGAAGGUAUUCACUGGCCAGAUGCCACAUUCUCCUUGAAGUCAGGCUGCCCCACUGAACUCACUGGCUUUGAAGCAGAGUAAGGCCUGCUCAGGAACCCAGCGGGAAGUCUUGUGUCUGUGACCUGGGCCCCCAUGGUUAGAGUCAGGAGAUUAGAGUGUCCUUGCUCCAAAGCCAGAGAUACAGACCCAGAUUACUCAGGGUCACAGGUCCACAUUCUUGUAUGCAGCAGGAGCAUUAAUUAGUGACAAUUACCUAUUGGAAAAAAGAAGUCGAGUCCUGAGUGUCCCUUCCAAAAAACUUAAAGACAGAAGGAAGCUUCUAACAAUGGGUCAGGGGAGAUGCAUUUCCGCCCCGAUGUUAAAAACAAGGUGCUGUCUAAUUGAUGAGUAGUAGGGGCUUGCAGAGACGCUUUGAUGAGCCAUCUCCUGCUUCCUGAUAUUGUGACCUCUCAACAAACACUGACAAAUAAAACCAGCAUGUCUUCGAUAUAAAUGAGAGCACACUAUCUAAGGAGAUGCUUCGUUCUCAGGAUGUGGUUGAAAUCCUGUUAUGAAUAAGGUUUACAUCCUUGCCACUGAAAUAAUAUUUUUGUACUGUGGAAAUCAAUGGUAAGGAAAAAAAUGGACAGGUCAUCUAAUAUGUAAACAAUUUAACUUUGAUGUAAUCUCUUGUUUGCUGGAUUUGGUCCUGGGGAAACUCAAAGGACUUUCUUAGUUACUUAGUUGAAUCUCUCACCUUUUCUCUGUCUUCUCGUUUAACUUCUCUUCUCUUACCUUGCAGAGCAUUUUGAUGAUGAGUCCAGCUGAAAAUAGUGCUGUGUCAGGAAUUUAGACUUACGGCCUAACCCUUUUUCUUGUGGGGAAAUCUUUAGGUGUAUAGGACUGUGCUAAUGGUGAUUUAAAGUAGAACCAGCAGAGGUUUGGUCUGAGGGAAGGUGAAAGCAUGUAUUUUAUCAAGUUGAGAACCUGUAGAGAAUUUGUGGGUUCUGUGUUUCAAACGGAGCUCAAAUCUUUUGAGGCUCAAGUUCCAUUUGCUCUUGGCAAAACACAAUUUCCUGGUUCAAAAGAAAAUAAGCACAUAAAAAAAGGGCCCCCAGGCUUCUUGGACAUCAAAGCUUAUGAGAUACUCUUAUAAAACAGCAUUUGGAUGAUUUUUAGAUUAUAGGAACCAGGAACAUACAGAUUAAAACUACCCUUGAACUACCCUUAAGUUAAAAAGAAAAAACAAGACAAAAAGCCAAGGGCAAAGCUGUUGGCAAAGUGCAUUACACUUUGGAUGUUUUUGCCAAAAGUGAGACAUUUUAGUUAGUCUUCAAGCUCACCCUCCUUUCAAAUUUUUUUGUAAAAUCUCAGCAAUGUCAAAAUUCCAUUUCAGCUUCUGCCUGAUAUCUCUUGAACUUCACAUCUAAGGGGGUAGUCAUGAUUCUUUUGAACCAACAAUUUCUUUAAGAAAUUAUGUCCAUAUUUUCGUUUGAUGUUCAAGCAACUUUGAUUAAUAUAUCCUUUAACAUAAAUACCAAAUAUCGACUAAUCUGUUAAAAAGCACAUUGUUUUAAAAAAUCAUUCUAGAUUAGUGAUUCUCAACUGGGAGUUAUUUUGAUUCCCAGGGGACAUUUAGUAAUAUCUGGAGAAAUUUUUGGUUGUCAUAACUCAUAACUAGAGAUUCGGGAGGUUGGCUACUAGCACCUACUGGGUAGAGGCCAGGGACACACUGCUCAAUAUUUUAUAAUGCACGGGACAGCUCCCCAUCACAAAGAAUUAUCUGGCUCAAAAUGUCAAUAGCGUUGAGAUUUAGAAACCGUGUUCUAGACUCUGGAGGAUCAUAGAUAUUAUGAUUUCCAGCUACUUAAAUUUAUCCCAACCAAGAUUGAUGUUCUUUACUGAUUUCUGGACAUAAUUAUCAGACUGGGGGAAGAAAGAAGAAUAAAAAUGAGAAUAAGGAAGAGAGAGAUAUCUGUAAGACUAAAAUAAUCCUUUGGGUACCAAGGUCACCAUAUCUGUUCCAUUAUAACUAAGGAAAAUAAAAUAUUUUAAAAAAGAUAUAUAGUGAUUUUGAGGUCCACAGAUUAUUAGCUGUUAUAGGAACGCUCUUUAAGUCAGAAGGAAAGCAAUGGAAACAGGACAUGUUAAUAUUCUUUUUGCCAUUGUUUGUAUGCUACUACGUGCAACUAAAAACUGAAGCUUAUGAAACACUUCCACUCCUCACAACUGCCUGACUUGCUUGUUUGCCCAUGUUGGUGUUUAUUCCAUCAUUAAUUCAUUCAUCAGACAUUGAUGCACCCUCAGAAAAGACAGGGUUAAGGGGACAAAAUGUGUGAAUGGAAGCGUUCCUCCGCAUGGUUGAGAGCUGCAGGAUCCCACAGACAAGUUAGCUGAGGCAGAAGUACAAGGCCUGUAUUAUGAUUCGGCAUAAUGUACAAAUUGCAUUGGAAGAGACAGUGGCAGUGCCCGAGGCACUAUCUGUCACUCUUGGUGAAUUUGCAAAUGCCUAUCAUAGAGGCAGUGUCCCAAGAGACAGAAUGGUAUCCUUUGGGCAAGGUUUCCUAAGCUUAGAACCACCUGAAGCAUGUGUUAAAAACCGCAGCAGCAGCAGUAUCAACAAAAACAGAUUUAUCAGCUCCACUUCAGCUCACUGACUCAGAAUCUACAGGAAUGGGUAAUUUUUAACAAAUGCUGAAGGUGGUUUUUAUCAUAAGGCAAGUUUAGGAAACUCUCCUCUUAAGACCAGUAAACUGUGAAACCCACAGAGGAAACCUGAGUUUAGAGUCCCAUCCUUAGCCCUAUCAUUACCCCACACAGACUCAGUCAUCCAUUCAUUCAGCAAACACCUUUUGUGCAUCUACUAUGUGCCAGCCUUGUUCUAGAGGCUGGGGAUAUUGUGAAUAAGACUGACAAGGUCCCUGCUCUCAUAGAGCUUAUAUUCAGACUCACCAGUGAGAACUGAAAUAACUGUGGAGUAUUUCACCCAAGAAGUGUCUUCCAUUAUGUGGAUGAGAAAGGCAGAAAGAAGCUUUGUAUUCUGGAGUAAUGUAGGGAAGCAUUCCCUCUUAUGCACAUGUACAUAGCAAAUAUGUUUCUGGUGUCCAGAAAUAUCUAUUAUACUUACUAUUUGUAUGAGUUUAGGAAAAUUGUUUGAUGCCUCUGUGCUCAGUAUCCCAUCUGUAAAAUAGGGAUAUUAUAUAUAUACACACACACACACACACACACAUACACGUAACAUUACAUAUAUAUAAUUUACCAUACAGAGUUGUUUCAAGGAUUAAAUUGGUCAACACUUUCAAAGUGCUUAGACAAGAGCAUGUCACAUGGUAAACACACAAUAUUAUUUGCUAUUAUCAUCCUCAUUCUCAUCAUUGUCAUUAUCAUUAUCAUAUUCUUCCCUUUCCCCCAUUACAUCCCAUGAUUCCAGUGCCACUGAGGGGAAAAUAUGUUUGGCAACCCUAGUAGAUCGUAUUCCUUUAUUUACAUAGGCAUCCACUUUUAUACAUAUAUAUGUACUGAGAACUUGCCAAAUUCAGGGCUUGGAACUAGGGUGUGAGAAAUGUAAAAAUAAGCUAGUAAUAUAAAAAUAUAAAAAUAAGUGGAGUAGUUAAGCUCAAUUGACAAAAACCUGUAGUUUAGGUAGAAAGUGAUUAUAAGAGUACGAAUAAAGUAUUCCAAGGGUUCAGAAUAGAAAAUGAUUUCUUCCAGCUUGGGGACAUUUGGGAAAUUGGGAUAUCCUUUGGGGAAAUGUAGUAAUCAGUAUAUUCUGGGAAAACAUAGUAGAGAAUGAAUAAAUAAAUUCCAUUGAAUUUGGAAUAUGUUGUCCAUUCUCCCUGUAACUAAUGCUAUCAAGAUAAAGUAGAAAUACCACAUUUCAGAAACAGCUGGAGUAGACAGGUCUUCAUAGGCUAGCUUGGAAACCUAAUAGCUAUUAAUAAUGAAAUUUUAAUUAUACUCUGGGUUCUAAACAAUGAACACACAGUGAUCUUUUUGACUUGCUGCUUGUUUAUAAGUUGGGGAUGGUCUGAAUUCAUUGUUGAUUCAAAAGAAAACGAAUAGUGUUUUAAACCUUUUAUUUACAAAGACUAUAAUUUGUCACCUUCCUACCAACAUAUCUUAAAUACACCAAGACCUUUUACAGAAGCUUAAACAAGGGUGUACAGCUCUUGUUUUACUCCUCUCCCACCAAUCUGCUUUAGCUUAUCUGGACUUUGGUAUGUAAUUUGGAAAUUGGGCUAUGUUUUCCUUACUUAAAUUGCAAAAAAAAAAAAAAAAUGAUUAACUGAAAUAACACUGCACAUUUUUCAGAUUUAAUUAUGUUUGUAAUACAUCACCCAGUGAUAUGGGGCAACUUUUUGCUGUUCACUUUCCAUCAUGUGUUUCUCAUAACAUAUGGUCCUCAUGAAAUAGUUUUGAUUCAGAGUCCCCAGUAGCAUAUGGCAAAAAAAAGGCCCC